GAUUCUACUCUAAAAGUCACCAGGAAAAAUUCAGCUCCACUGGUCCUGGCUCUAAGUCUACUAGCAAAAUCUUCCAGAGAAGUGGAAAAGCCAUCAGCCAAUGUGUUAGACUAUCAUUUCCAUGACCUUACACCUAUCAAAAAGGCACUAUUACCAGGCUUAUAGAAUUCUAAAAAAGUUGGAAACCAUUUUCCAUUAUAAAAGAAAUUCUUCCAAAUCACACAAAACACUCUGACACUUCUCCAAUUCCCCCUAUCAUGGGGCUGGCAGCAGCCGCUUUGCGUCCUGAAUGUCAUGACAGUGAUGAUAACAGUAAUGAUGAUAACAGCAAUGAUGAAGUCUCACAUUUAAAAUUUUCAAGUCACUCAUCACAUCCCAAGUCACUCCCUUCAUUACCUUUUAUUUAUACUGGAGUCAUCCUGUGUGCCUCAGUCAGACCAUUUUGUAUGUACAAUGACCGACAAUGAGAUUUAACAUGCAGUUUGCAGAUCCUCCCUUCUCUGGGUCACCUGAAAAUAAGCCACAAACAAAGGAAUGAAAUUGUUGAUGAAAAGGGAAGAGGCAAGACUCCAUAUGAAGAAUACAACUGACUCACCUGUCUGUACAUGCCUCUGUGUGUGUGUUUUAUAUUGGUGCUGGUGAAGAUAGUUCUUUAUGCUGAUGCUUAAUAAGGUGAAAUGUGUCUAUUUUCUUCCAUUGGCCCAGGCACAGAUGCGAUUAUAAUUGCUAAGAUUAUUUGCAUAUUGGCUUUUAAUGAUGCAUUUAAAAAUAUUCAUCCCAUUUACUGACUUAUGCAGGCAAUGUACUUUUGUAAAUGUGGGCCAGCAUCAUGCUUAAAUUCCCAAACCACUAUUUAUUUAAAACUCAUCACUUCAGUUUUUAUACCCUUUCUCCCCCAUAAGGGAAAAAAUAUGAUUCUGACUGUAUAAGCACCAACUAAACAGAACACAAAACAUGGCAGACGAUAAAAACAUAUUUUCACAAAUGAGACAUGUCAUUUUACCAUCGAGGAGAGAAACAAAAUAAGCUGGUUUUCAAGUUCCAUAUCUUGUGUGCUCCUUUCAGCUAAAUGCCCUUACAUCUGUAAGCCCUUGGGACAGGUUAAGGCUUUUAUUAUUAUUUUAAAGUCUUCAUAACUACAACCUAGCAUCCAAAGUGAAACAGAUGCUAUUGGAUAUGAGUAGCAUAUGCAAUGGAAAUAUUGACAUUGCCUUCCCGACAGUCAUGAGGGAUAGACCAUAGGCUUUUUGGUAACCUAUAUUUUCUAGGCCCAAAGCAGGGAAUGAGAUGGCAGGGAAAUUCAGGGUAAACUCCAAAUUUACAUAAAGUUAUAGAAGAAUAUAGAUCAUGAGUAGUGGCUAGCACCUUCCUGACUUCCAGAAAAUGGUGGUGCCGAUAUUGAACAACAGUUUGGAGAAAAUGUAAAAUGUUUACAUUUACAUUUACAGUUUAGUCUUUGAACAACAGUUUGGAGAAAAUGUAAAAUGAAAAUUUGUUAACGAACUUGUUUUUAAAAAGCACCUAGACUCCAUAUAAGAGUACUUGUCCUAUGUUAUUUUCAUAAACUACAUUUGUGAUUGU
This 1581-nucleotide long non-coding RNA is filed under the name Homo sapiens (human). RNAcentral describes it as "non-protein coding RGPD4-AS1:9". Lineage: Eukaryota; Metazoa; Chordata; Mammalia; Primates; Hominidae. The record is from RNAcentral.